Molecule: ribosomal RNA, 305 nt
Filed under: uncultured bacterium
Lineage: Bacteria
Description: bacterial SSU rRNA
Rfam family: Bacterial small subunit ribosomal RNA
Source: RNAcentral
CCUACGGGGGGCAGCAGUAGGGAAUCUUCCGCAAUGGGCGAAAGCCUGACGGAGCAACGCCGCGUGAGUGAUGAAGGUCUUCGGAUCGUAAAACUCUGUUGUUAGGGAAGAACAAAUUUGUUAGUAACUGAACAAGUCUUGACGGUACCUAACCAGAAAGCCACGGCUAACUACGUGCCAGCAGCCGCGGUAAUACGUAGGUGGCAAGCGUUAUCCGGAAUUAUUGGGCGUAAAGCGCGCGUAGGCGGUUUCUUAAGUCUGAUGUGAAAGCCCACGGCUCAACCGUGGAGGGUCAUUGGAAACUG